UCUCUCUCUCUACCACACACCCCCCCUCUCCUCUCUCUACCACACACCCCCAGACUCUCUCUCUCUCUACCACACACCCCCAGACUCCCUCUCCCCCUCUCUACCACACACACCCAGACUCCCGCUCUCUUUACCACACACCCUGUGGUUUUCUACGAUAGGGCCUGGGACCUGAGCGGUUUACUCCAAGCAUGCACAGAGGAAUAGUUAGCCCCUUUAAAAUACUCUGUAUACACACUGUGUGUGUGUGUGUGUGUGUGUGUGUGUGCCUGCCUAGCCUGGGCCCCACCCGUCUAUCUCACUGAAGCCACCUCUGAAUGGCCUGUAUGUACUCUGUGGGUCAUAAAACCCCAGACAAAUGGUGUGUGUGGGGUGUGAGAGUGAACCAAGGAGGGGGUGGAGCAAGUGAGGCUGGCUGUAACAGAGGCUCUGCCACGACAGUUGUUGUCUGUUCCGUUCCCUUCCCUACUGCUGUAGUUAACUUACAACUCCUCUGAGCCCCAGAACAGACCAUGGACUAUCUUGACUGAGUGGCCAGUUGGUAAGAUCAUCCAAAGUGGAGGAGUUGAGAGUAGGCUUUCCAAAUAUCCAUUCCCUUCUCUUUCUGUGUAUCUUUUCCCCUGAUAGUGACCAGUCAAGGAAUCUGUGAACUUUUCAACUGCUGUCUAAUAAAUCUAGAACUAUGUCCACAAAGACUCUCACAGCAUACUGAUAAAACCAGGACAGGACAUUAAAAACACUCAUGUUUAAAUGCAUUUCAUGGCCAUUUGCAAUGGGUCUGCCCGAAGAGAUGCACUAUGACCGAGCAGGAUAUCACUAUAUUGAAGCAGAGGGCCUCUGUAACAUAGAAACUGAAAAUGCACAUUUGAACCUCCUUUCUCCUGCCAACUCUCUGAUUACCCCUCCCCCAAAUCUAUACGGUGGCCUCAGGAAGCAAUCCAUGCAGGGAAUAGGAGGAGAGGGAACAUAUUGGACUUCCUGUUUUGAUUUCAAGGGGAAAAUGAGAUCCAAAGAUAUGGAGAGUCCUGGAAAAUCUAAACUGCCCUGAUUUAGCAGAGCUAAUGUCUGACUAUAACUAACUGAACAUAAGCGCUCAGAGCAUGAUACUCCUCUCUGAGAUCAGAGCAAGACUUGAUGAGUAACAGACCGAAGUCUGGGUCUUUUUUAUUUAUUUUGACCUUCAUCUGUUUUCAUGCGAACUUUCACAGAGAGCAACUUUUUUCACUCCCCAUAUUUGUCUCUUUUUUUCAGACCAAUAACAUGAUCCAUCUUUGUUAACAGCCUCUUGAGGGCUUCUUUCAAUCGGGGGGAUAUGAGAUCACAUUAUUAACAUUCUUUGGAAGAGCAUUCUUUCUCUCUUUCUGCCCAAUCUUCUGCUUGUCCCUUCUUGCCCUCGAGGAGAGAAUAUGGCAGCAUGGCAGAUCUCAGACCAACAAAGAGAGAGAGCUAAUCCACAGCAUAGACAAGCUUAGCUGAGACCACCUAGAAGAGACUUGGUCAAUAACACUCAGAAAACAGACAAUAUCUGGUCUACAUAGAUAGCAACUUUCUUUCCCGGUAAUACAUUUAGCUUGAUUGAUGUGUCUCUAUGCAAUAAAUGUGAGACCUGUGUACAGGGUGAUAGUCAUCAUACCUCUACAUAUAGGACAAAAGUGCAAUAGCUAUCAGGUAUAAACCAUGUAAAUGUCUGCAGUCUCCCUGCUGAGUCAUGCUAUCAGACUUCAGGUUUCCUAACUGAGAAUAUCAAGUGAACAGGGCUUUGCUGGCGAAACUCAAACAUUCUGAAAAGUGAAUCUGGGCAUCUGUUUCUGUUUAGUUUUCAGGUUAUGGCAGCAACAUCUUUCCCUAUCCUGAUACUCCUUUUGUUCCCUUCUUUCUUACCUUGAGAGGAAGAAAAAAAGCGCCCCUAUUAAAGUGAAUUUUCCAAAGUACCUUCCAAACCCCCUCCCCCGCCCACCCCUUGUAACAAUCUUAGACUCUACCUGCCACCCCCCGCCCACCUCCCCCCUCCUCUUUUCUCUCUCUCCUCAUUCAUCUCUCUCUGCUUCAGUGAAAAGCCAAACAAGCCAGCCAUUAAGUUGAGUUAAGCGCAGGAAGCGGGCCUUCAGGCCAGGCAGCCCUGUUUACACGGAGCUAGUCGGGUUUCAGCGAGUGAGGUGAGGCAGCUCACAGGAGACUGUCACUGGGCCAAGGCCUCGGCGCUGCUCCACUGACUCACUGCAUUCCCCCCAUUCAUCUGAGUGAAGAGAAGAGGGGGGCAGGGAGGAGAAAGAAAGGGGGAGCUAGGGCUGAGGCACAAAAGGUGUGGAGGAGCAGAACAUAAGUGGGACAGGUAGAUUUAUGUAUUUUUCCCCCAACAAGGCAUGGUCUCUUUUGCUGUCCUAAAUCACACAUACUGUACCUGUCAGUUGUUACAACCCUGGUACUUAUACUGUGCCAUGCCAUACACUGCCCCCUCUUUCUGUACAAGACAGACAAACGAUAGAUCUUAUCUGACAAGGGGAAAUAUCCAGUGGUCUUCAGCGAGUACAAACUGUUCAAGCCCUGCAUAUCGUCAAGUCUACCUCUAUAGAUUUCUUGUUGUAGAUUAGGUGAGAAAUUGGUAAUCCCAUUCUUACAUGCAGGAGCUGUUCAGAAAGUGUUCACACCAUGUGACUUUUUCCACAUUUUGUUGUUACGAAGUGGGAUUCAAAUGGAUUUAAUUGUUUUGUUUUUUGUCAACUAUCUUAACAAAAUACUCUAUAAUGUCAAAGUGGAAUAAAAAUGAUAAAAUGUAUGAAUUAAUCAAUGGAAAAUAAAACACUAUGUAUUGAUUUAGAUAAGUAUUCAACCCUCUCAGUCAAUACAUGUUAGAAUCACCUUUGGCAGCGAUUACAGCUGUGAGUCUUUCUGGGUUAGUCUCUAAGGGCUUUGCACACCUGGAUUGUACAAUAUUUGCCCAUUAUUCUUUAAGAAAUUCUUUAAGCUCUGUCAAAUUGGCCAUAGAUUUUCAAGAUGAUUUAAAUCAAAACUGUAACAAUGCCACUCAGGAACAUUCAAUGUAGUCUUGGUAAGCAACUCCAGUGUAUAUUUGGCCUUGUGGUGUGGGGGCUGUGCUUUGGCAAAGUGGGUGGGGUUAUAUCCUUCCUGUUUGGCCCUGUCCGGGGGUGUCCUCGGAUGGGGCCACAGUGUCUCCUGACCCCUCCUGUCUCAGCCUCCAGUAUUUAUGCUGCAGUAGUUAAUGUGUCGGGGGGCUAGGGUCAGUUUGUUAUAUCUGGAGUACUUCUCCUGUCCUAUUCGGUGUCCUGUGUGAAUUCUCUAAUUCUCUCCUUCUCUCUUUCUUUCUCUCUCUCGGAGGACCUGAGCCCUAGGACCAUGCCCCAGGACUACCUGACAUGAUGACUCCUUGCUGUCCCCAGUCCACCUGGCCGUGCUGCUGCUCCAGUUUCAACUGUUCUGCCUUAUUAUUAUUCGACCAUGCUGGACCUGAGCCCUAGGACCAUGCCCCAGGACUACCUGACAUGAUGACUCCUUGCUGUCCCCAGUCCAUCUGACCGUGCUGCUGCUCCAGUUUCAACUGUUCUGCCUUAUUAUUAUACGACCAUACUGGUCAUUUAUGAACAUUUGAACAUCUUGGCCAUGUUCUGUUAUAAUCUCCACCCGGCACAGCCAGAAGAGGACUGGCCACCCCACAUAGCCUGGUUCCUCUCUAGGUUUCUUCCUAGGUUUUGGCCUUUCUAGGGAGUUUUUCCUAGCCACCGUGCUUCUACACCUGCAUUGCUUGCUGUUUGGGGUUUUAGGCUGGGUUUCUGUAUAGCACUUUGAGAUAUCAGCUGAUGUACGAAGGGCUAUAUAAAUAAAUUUGAUUUGUGUUUCAGGUAAUUGUCCUGCUGAAAGGUGAAUGUGCAUCCCAGUGUCUGUUGGGAAUCAGACUGAACCAAGUUUCCCUCUAGGAUUAUGCCUGUGCUUAGCUCUAUUCCAUUUUGUUUUAUCAUUAAAAAAAACACCCUAGUCCUUUUCGAUGACAAGCGUACCCAUAACAUGAUGCAGCCACCACCAUUCUUGAAAAUAUUAAGAGUGGUACUCAGUAAUGUGUUUUAUUUUCCCCAAACAUAAAGCUUUGUUUUCAGAACAAAAAGUUCAUUUCUUUGCCACAUUUUUUUAAAAGUAUUGCUUUAGUGCGUUAUUGCAAACAAGAUUAUUCUGUACAGGAUUCCUUAUUUUCACUCUGUCAUUUAUGUUAGUAUUGUAGAGUAACUUCUACAAUGUUGUUGAUCCAUCCUCAGGUAUCUCCUAUCACAGCCAUUAAACUCUAUAACUGUUUUAAAAUCACCAUUGGCCUCAUGGUGAAAUCCCUGAGCGGUUUCCUUCCUCUCCGGCAACUGAGUUAGGAAGGACACCUGAAUCUUUGUAGUGACUGUGUGUAUUGAUACCCCAUCCAAUGUGUAAUUAAUAACUUCACCAUGCACAAAGAGAUAAUCUAUGUACGCUUCUUUUUUUUUGCCAUCUACCAAUAGCUGCCCUUGUUUGUGAACCAUUUGAAAACCUCCCUGGUCUUUGUGGUUGAAUCCGUGCUUGAAAUUCACUGCUCGACUGAGGGACCUUACAGAUCAUUGUUUGUGUUGGGUACAGAGAUGAGGUAGUCAUUUAAAAUUCAUGUUAAUCACUAUCAUUGCACAGAGUGAGUCCAUGCAACUUAAUAUGUGACUUGUUAAGCAUAUUUUGACUCCUGAACUUAUUUAGGCUUGUUAUAACUAAAGGGUUGAAUACUUAUUCACUGAAGACAUUUCAGCUUUACAUUUUUAAUUAAUUUGUAAACAUUUCUAAAAACAUAAUUUCACUUUGACAUAUGGGGUAUUGUGUGGAACCCAAAAUCUCGAUUACAUUUUUAAAAUUCUGGCUGUAACACAAUACAAUGUGGAAAAAGUCAAGGGGUGUGAAUACUUCCUGAAGGCACUGUAUGCUUACAGUAUGUUUUGGAAGUAUUCCUCAUAUCCUCCGUGCUGGACGUGUUGGGGAUCCGGGAGUAUCCACUUUCUCCAGCCAGCACGUCAUUUAUUUCAUUACAUCACCAACAGAUGAGGUUCAGUUUCAGCCAUGCAUCACUCGGGGGAUUCCAGAUCAAUGUUGUGUUUACUUUAAAAAGUUUCUUGAAAGAUAAAGUACUCUGUGAAGCCAAGCACCAUUAUUUUCCUUUGCUUCACUCGCAUGUAGAGACAAAUGCCAUGUUCACAAAGAAAUACACACACACACACGCAC
Oncorhynchus tshawytscha (Chinook salmon) is the source of this 5238-nucleotide long non-coding RNA. The record is from Ensembl. NCBI's taxonomy places the organism in Eukaryota, Metazoa, Chordata, Actinopteri, Salmoniformes, Salmonidae.